UAUCCCAAAGGAGUUAUCCCUAUUGGAAGUAGCAACAUGGGAUUUACUCUUCUUUGUUAUUUGUGUUUUUUCCUUCCUUUUGGAUACACCAUGGAACUUUGAUCCUGUAGAACAUCUAGUCAAAGCGGGCAUAGUGGGAACGCUAUGGAAUAAUACCACAACCAGACUUGGCCUUCAAUAUAUAAUGUUGAAGGCCUCUGUCGAAACCAUUCAUCAAUUCAGGAAGGAAGAUCGGAUGCAUAGGAAUCGGCAGCAGAAAGAAUACUUCUAAAGUUGCAUCUAUGGUCCGUAGAACUUCAAUAGCAGAAGGAGCAAUUCGCUCUUUGUUGGCUCGUGGAUUCCAGACCUAAAGAAAAAAGUCAACAGGUCAUGUGCAUCUAACAGCUAUCUUCUAGAAAAUGAUUAGUAAGUUUUGUGAUUGAAGCUUGGAAAUCAACUGCCACUCUGUAAUACAUAUAAACAAAACAGGGCUAAGUAUUGCAGGUUUGGACAA
Long non-coding RNA from Carya illinoinensis, 493 nucleotides. RefSeq lists it as uncharacterized. The transcript is spliced from 2 exons. NCBI's taxonomy places the organism in Eukaryota, Viridiplantae, Streptophyta, Magnoliopsida, Fagales, Juglandaceae. The record is from RefSeq and is a predicted model, not a curated record.